UGACCGUGCAAAGGUAGCGUAAUCACCUGUCUUUUAAAUAAAGACCUGUAUGAAUGGCAAGACGAGGGUUUUACUGUCUCCUCCCCCCAGUCAAUGAAAUUGAUCUACCCGUGCAGAAGCGGGUAUAAAAACAUAAGACGAGAAGACCCUAUGGAGCUUUAGGCAUAUAUCAAAUAUGUAAAAAACCAAAUUUUUCCAAAUAGGCCUAAAAAAUGAGAAAAACAAGUAUUAAUGAUUAAGUGCCUUCGGUUGGGGCGACCACGGGGAAAAAUAAAACCCCCACAUGGAAUGGGAAAAAUAACCCUAAGCCAAGAAAAACACUUCUAAGCAACAAAAUUUUUGACCAAUAAACGACCCAGGGACACCAUCCCUGAGCAAUGAACCAAGUUACCCUAGGGAUAACAGCGCAAUCCUUUCCCAGAGCCCAUAUCAACGAAAGGGUUUACGACCUCGAUGUUGGAUCAGGGCAUCCUAACGGUGCAGCCGC
RNAcentral lists this ribosomal RNA (487 nucleotides) under Conger erebennus. RNAcentral describes it as "partial 16S ribosomal RNA". It matches the Rfam family "Bacterial large subunit ribosomal RNA", at positions 1943 to 2562 of the family's 2925-position model. Lineage: Eukaryota; Metazoa; Chordata; Actinopteri; Anguilliformes; Congridae. The record is from RNAcentral.